AGUAACGCGUGAGGAACCUGCCUCAAAGAGGGGACAACAGUUGGAAACGACUGCUAAUACCGCAUAAGCCCACGGCUCGGCAUCGAGCAGAGGGAAAAGGAGCAAUCCGCUUUGAGAUGGCCUCGCGUCCGAUUAGCUGGUUGGUGAGGUAAUGGCCCACCAAGGCGACGAUCGGUAGCCGGACUGAGAGGUUGAACGGCCACAUUGGGACUGAGACACGGCCCAG
RNAcentral lists this ribosomal RNA (226 nucleotides) under uncultured bacterium. RNAcentral's name for it is "partial 16S ribosomal RNA". It matches the Rfam family "Bacterial small subunit ribosomal RNA", at positions 109 to 334 of the family's 1533-position model. The record is from RNAcentral.